CGACUCGAGCGAAGCGAGAGAACGUUGCGCCAGCAACGGCCCGCAGGGCGAGCCACGAAGUGGCGAGUAAUCCUCUGGCACCGACCA
Molecule: small RNA, 87 nt
Filed under: Escherichia coli
Lineage: Bacteria; Pseudomonadati; Pseudomonadota; Gammaproteobacteria; Enterobacterales; Enterobacteriaceae
Description: partial RtT sRNA
Rfam family: RtT RNA
About the family: This family represents a bacterial cis-regulatory element known as RtT RNA. The exact function of RtT is unknown although it is thought that it may be involved in changing the cellular response in relation to amino acid starvation.
Source: RNAcentral